Tachysurus fulvidraco (yellow catfish) is the source of this 1061-nucleotide long non-coding RNA. RefSeq lists it as uncharacterized. The transcript is spliced from 3 exons. Lineage: Eukaryota; Metazoa; Chordata; Actinopteri; Siluriformes; Bagridae. The record is from RefSeq and is a predicted model, not a curated record.
AAAUUUAACAACAGAUAAUUAUCCUGUUGGGCAUGCCACAGUUUAGCUCCCUUGUACCUCUACACCUAAUGCUGAGCAGGAUGCUCUUAGCCAUCUCACAGACAUGAUGGGCCAGUUAGGUACACAGAUUGGAGAGUCAAUUGUUUCCAGAUUACUUUCCGCUGGCAUAGUUAAUAGCGAUUCGAUACACCACCACACGCAAUCACAGAUGAGACCAGAACAGUCUGUGUCAAUGGUAGUACCACAUGUGUCAGUACAUGUAGGGUCUGAAUAUGACAUUUCGUGGUGACAGAUCUGACAAGUAUGGUGUUAGAGAGUGGGUUGAUAGAACCAAAGCUUGUAUAAGAAAGCAGAAAAGUCCCAUAACAGAACAAGCUGAGGAGAUUAUGAGCAGACUUACAAGAAAAGCUAAAGAUAUCGUUAAAAUCAGUCUGCGAAGUUAUUAUACACUUGAUGUAAAGCAGAAUCCUGAUUUAUGAUAUUCUGCUGCAGUAUUUCAGUGAGACCUCAUCAAGCCUACCCCUUGCUGAUUUCUACUGUAUGCUACUCUUCCCAGAGCCAGUGAGAACCCAGUAGACUAUUGGAUUCGAAUCAAUAAGGCUGCUGAUCUGGUGAAUGAUGGCCUUCAUGGACAAGAGAAGCAGCGGUCUGAUAUGGACGAAGAGGUGACACAUCACCUCAGUUUCAGGACAUCUUAAGGUGGUCCAGUGGCAGGAUCCUGCACACUCAUUGCCGCGGCCCAGACAGUGAGCAAAGAGUUAACUCUCAGUGCCGGUCCCAAUCCCAGAUAAAAAUGGGAGGGUUGUGGCAUCUGGUGUAAAACCUGUGACAAAUUAUAGAUGUGGACCACUUGAUCCACUGUGGUGACCUCAAACAGGGAGCAGCCGAAAGAAAAAAAUCUGGAAAUGUGCAGCUACUAACUUAAUGUUUCAAUAAAUUGAACAAUACAUUAUUUGUAUUCAUACAUAUUUUUGUACAGUGAUUUUUUUUUAUUUUUUUUUUUUGACAAUUUGUAGCAAUACUGACAUUUUUAUUCUGUCAUCUAAGUUGUAUAUUAAAAA